CCUACGGGUGGCAGCAGUGGGGAAUAUUGCACAAUGGGGGAAACCCUGAUGCAGCCACGCCGCGUGAAGGAAGACGGUUCUCGGAUUGUAAACUUCUGUUCUUAGUGAAGAAUAAUGACGGUAGCUAAGUAGUACGCCACGACUAAAUACGUGCCAGCAGCCUCGGUAAUAAGCAGGUGGCAAGCUUUGUCCGGAAGUACCGGGUGUAACGGGAGCGGAGGCGGGAAGACAAGUCAGAUGGGAAAAGUUCGGGCUUAACUUGAAGACUGCAGUUAAAACUGGUCUACUUGAGUGGAGUAGAGGUUGGCGGAAUGCCGGGUGUAGAGGUGAAAUGCGUAGAUAUUAGGAAGAACACCGAUGGCGAAGGCAGCCAACUGGGCUUUAACUGACGCUGAGGCUCGAAAGUGUGGGGAGCAAACAGGAUUAGAUACCCGGGUAGUC
This 441-nucleotide ribosomal RNA is filed under the name uncultured bacterium. RNAcentral describes it as "partial 16S ribosomal RNA". It matches the Rfam family "Bacterial small subunit ribosomal RNA", at positions 338 to 795 of the family's 1533-position model. The record is from RNAcentral.